Molecule: ribosomal RNA, 433 nt
Filed under: uncultured bacterium
Lineage: Bacteria
Description: bacterial SSU rRNA
Rfam family: Bacterial small subunit ribosomal RNA
Source: RNAcentral
AUUAAACGCUGGCGGCAUGCCUUACACAUGCAAGUCGAACGGUAGCGCGGGGCAACCUGGCGACGAGUGGCGAACAGGUGAGUAAAGCAUCGGAACGUGCCCUGGAAUGGGGGAUAACGUAGCGAAAGUUACGCUAAUACCGCAUAUUCUGUGAGCAGGAAAGCAGGGGAUCGCAAGACCUUGCGUUCUGGGAGUGGCCGAUGUCGGAUUAGCUAGUUGGUGGGGUAAAAGCCUACCAAGGCGACGAUCCGUAGCGGGUCUGAGAGGAUGAUCCGCCACACUGGGACUGAGACACGGCCCAGACUCCUACGGGAGGCAGCAGUGGGGAAUUUUGGACAAUGGGCGGAAGCCUGAUCCAGCCAUGCCGCGUGAGUGAAGAAGGCCUUCGGGUUGUAAAGACUCUUUCAGUGGGAAGAUAAUGACUGUACCCACA